CAGCCGCCGCGGGAAUACGAAGGGUGCAAGCGUUAAUCGGAAUUACUGGGCGUAAAGCGUGCGUAGGCGGUUUGUUAAGUCUGUUGUGAAAUUCCCGGGCUCAACCUGGGAAUGGCAAUGGAUACUGGCAAGCUAGAGUGUGUCAGAGGAUGGUGGAAUUCCCGGUGUAGCGGUGAGAUGCGUAGAGAUCGGGAGGAACAUCAGUGGCGAAGGCGGCCAUCUGGGACAACACUGACGCUGAGGCACGAAAGCGUGGGGAGCAAACAGGAUUAGAUACCCCCGUAGUCCCUGUCUCUUAUAC
Molecule: ribosomal RNA, 301 nt
Filed under: uncultured bacterium
Lineage: Bacteria
Description: partial 16S ribosomal RNA
Rfam family: Bacterial small subunit ribosomal RNA
Source: RNAcentral